Canis lupus familiaris (dog) is the source of this 667-nucleotide long non-coding RNA. RefSeq lists it as uncharacterized. NCBI's taxonomy places the organism in Eukaryota, Metazoa, Chordata, Mammalia, Carnivora, Canidae. The record is from RefSeq and is a predicted model, not a curated record. The transcript is spliced from 4 exons.
UACUUAUUGAGAAACCAAUGCCUUUGCCCUCAGUCUGUUUUGCAUGACACUGUUUUGAAUGUUUUGAAAGACACUGAUCCUACUUCUUUCUCCCUAGGUCAUCAUGAUUUCAGGCAUAACUGAAGCAUGGAAAUAGAUGAACACAUCACACAGCAUCAUUGCAUUACUUUAGAUUCUUUGCCUGAACUGUCCAAAAGGAGAAAUCCAAAUGGAAGAUUUCAUCCAAGUGGCCAUAAGAGUGAAGUUGUUUCUGUCAUUCAUUGCUUUUCUGAAGCUACUGGUUAUUUCAAAUAAUAUCCUAGAAGAAAGAAUAUAUAACAUACGUUGUGAAUUUUCUGCAACUAUUGCUACAUGUAACAACAAUGGUGAAUCUACAUUCUACCAUAGAAAUACCAAGAUUUUAAAAGGAAGCCUAAGAAACCAAGAAGGAUCACCAGAGGAACUAAAGAAUAUAAAUAUGGAAGCAAUAAUUUGUCUAUCAUGAGUGAAUAAGGGAAUUACUGAAAUGAAAAGUUGGGGCAGAAUUUUAAAGGUUACUCUUUUUCCUAUGGGUUCCUGAUUCUGCAGAGGAAAGGAAGAACAUACUGCAUCAAUGUGAAUGUUCUGGAAUGUGCUCAAGCUCCACAACUAAUAUUUCAUGUUGAUUGUACUUGGCAAUAGCAAAAUA